This 468-nucleotide ribosomal RNA is filed under the name uncultured bacterium. RNAcentral describes it as "partial 16S ribosomal RNA". It matches the Rfam family "Bacterial small subunit ribosomal RNA", at positions 28 to 507 of the family's 1533-position model. The record is from RNAcentral.
GACGAACGCUGGCGGCGUGCUUAACACAUGCAAGUCGAACGGAAAGGCCCUGCUUUUGUGGGGUGCUCGAGUGGCGAACGGGUGAGUAACACGUGAGUAACCUGCCCUUGACUUUGGGAUAACUUCAGGAAACUGGGGCUAAUACCGGAUAGGAGCUCCUGCUGCAUGGUGGGGGUUGGAAAGUUUCGGCGGUUGGGGAUGGACUCGCGGCUUAUCAGCUUGUUGGUGGGGUAGUGGCUUACCAAGGCUUUGACGGGUAGGCGGCCUGGGAGGGUGACCGGCCACAUUGGGACUGAGAUACGGCCCAGACUCCUACGGGAGGCAGCAGUGGGGAAUAUUGCACAAUGGGCGGAAGCCUGAUGCAGCAACGCCGCGUGCGGGAUGACGGCCUUCGAGUUGUAAACCGCUUUCGCCUGUGACGAAGCGUGAGUGACGGUAAUGGGUAAAGAAGCACCGGCUAACUACGUG